AAGUCUGACGGAGCACGCCGCGUGAGCGAUGAAGGCCUUCGGGUCGUAAAGCUCUGUUGUUAGGGAAGAACAAGUACCGUUCGAAUAGGGCGGUACCUUGCCGGUACCUAACCAAAAACCCACGGCUAACUACUUGCCACCACCCCCGGUAUUACUUAGGUGGCAACCGUUGUCCGAAAUUAUGGGGCGUAAAGCGCCCCCAGGCGGUUCCUUAAUUCUGAUGUGAAAGCCCACGGUUCACCCGGGAAGGGCCAUUGAAAACGGGGGAAUUUGAUUGCAAAAAAGGAAAGGGAAUUUCCCCGUGUACCGGGAAAAUGCGUAAAAAUGUGAAGAAACCCCAGGGGCAAAGGCGGUUUUCUGGUCUGUAACUGACCCUAAGGCCCAAAAC
RNAcentral lists this ribosomal RNA (388 nucleotides) under uncultured bacterium. RNAcentral's name for it is "bacterial SSU rRNA". It matches the Rfam family "Bacterial small subunit ribosomal RNA", at positions 379 to 760 of the family's 1533-position model. The record is from RNAcentral.